AACGCUCUCAUGCCUACUCUUGUAUCCAGAGAUACUUAAGCGUCUAACAACUCUUGAGGAGGAUUCAUGCAGUGACACAGACGAAUCUGCCAGCUGGUUUUGCUUAAUAUGCAAAUAUCUUGGUGGCCAAGGCUUGGAAAGUUUAACCAGUCAUCUCUCUAGUCAAAAACAUUCACUUGAGGCACCAACAUCUGUAUAAGGCAAAUGAGAUUUAUAUUUGUAGAAGAAACAUCAAGGAUCACAAGCAUGGAUCUUUGCUUUCUACAACAACAA
This is a long non-coding RNA of Arabidopsis thaliana (thale cress), 273 nucleotides long. RefSeq annotates it as other RNA. Lineage: Eukaryota; Viridiplantae; Streptophyta; Magnoliopsida; Brassicales; Brassicaceae. The record is from RefSeq. The transcript has a single exon.